UUACGUAAUUUAAGUUUUCUAUUUCUAGCAGGCUAGCAGCCAUGAAAAGUAAAAUAACUAACCAAUAACUUAGUGUCGCCAGAAAAUGACGAGUUAUAUUAGAUAUGAAUAUAUAAAAACAAAGAAACAAGAUAAUACAAUUUUAAGAACACACAGAUUGGAGGAGCUGUGGAGACAAAAGCAAAGGUCGUGAACUGGUGCAUGUGAGCACUAAAAGAGAUGUUACCAUCACUGCCCAUUGACAAAUAUAGACCCAAUCACAUGUCUCAUCCGUUUUUACAUGCACACAGCACAAACACACACAUACAUUCACUAUAU
This 318-nucleotide long non-coding RNA is filed under the name Brassica napus (rape). RNAcentral describes it as "long non-coding RNA (BNAP_LNC007560)". The record is from RNAcentral. Lineage: Eukaryota; Viridiplantae; Streptophyta; Magnoliopsida; Brassicales; Brassicaceae.